GAUGAAGAACGUAGCGAACUGCGAUAAGUAAUGUGAAUUGCAGAAUUCAGUGAAUCAUCGAGUCUUUGAACGCACAUUGCGCCCCCUGGCAUUCCGGGGGGCAUGCCUGUCCGAGCGUCAUUGCUGCCCUUCAAGCCCGGCUUGUGUGUUGGGUCGUCGUCCCCCCCGGGGGACGGGCCCGAAAGGCAGCGGCGGCACCGCGUCCGGUCCUCGAGCGUAUGGGGCUUUGUCACCCGCUCGAUUAGGGCCGGCCGGGCGCCAGCCGGCGUCUCCAACCUUUUAUUUUACCAGGUUGACCUCGGAUCAGGUAGGGAUACCCGCUGAACUUAAGCAUAUCAAUAAGCGGAGGA
Molecule: unclassified non-coding RNA, 350 nt
Filed under: soil metagenome
Description: partial contains 5.8S ribosomal RNA, internal transcribed spacer 2, and large subunit ribosomal RNA
Rfam family: 5.8S ribosomal RNA (bases 1-120)
Source: RNAcentral